This 1534-nucleotide ribosomal RNA is filed under the name Escherichia coli. RNAcentral's name for it is "bacterial SSU rRNA". It matches the Rfam family "Bacterial small subunit ribosomal RNA". Lineage: Bacteria; Pseudomonadati; Pseudomonadota; Gammaproteobacteria; Enterobacterales; Enterobacteriaceae. The record is from RNAcentral.
UUGAAGAGUUUGAUCAUGGCUCAGAUUGAACGCUGGCGGCAGGCCUAACACAUGCAAGUCGAACGGUAACAGGAAGAAGCUUGCUUCUUUGCUGACGAGUGGCGGACGGGUGAGUAAUGUCUGGGAAACUGCCUGAUGGAGGGGGAUAACUACUGGAAACGGUAGCUAAUACCGCAUAACGUCGCAAGACCAAAGAGGGGGACCUUCGGGCCUCUUGCCAUCGGAUGUGCCCAGAUGGGAUUAGCUUGUUGGUGGGGUAACGGCUCACCAAGGCGACGAUCCCUAGCUGGUCUGAGAGGAUGACCAGCCACACUGGAACUGAGACACGGUCCAGACUCCUACGGGAGGCAGCAGUGGGGAAUAUUGCACAAUGGGCGCAAGCCUGAUGCAGCCAUGCCGCGUGUAUGAAGAAGGCCUUCGGGUUGUAAAGUACUUUCAGCGGGGAGGAAGGGAGUAAAGUUAAUACCUUUGCUCAUUGACGUUACCCGCAGAAGAAGCACCGGCUAACUCCGUGCCAGCAGCCGCGGUAAUACGGAGGGUGCAAGCGUUAAUCGGAAUUACUGGGCGUAAAGCGCACGCAGGCGGUUUGUUAAGUCAGAUGUGAAAUCCCCGGGCUCAACCUGGGAACUGCAUCUGAUACUGGCAAGCUUGAGUCUCGUAGAGGGGGUAGAAUUCCGGUGUAGCGGUGAAAUGCGUAGAGAUCUGGAGGAAUACCGGUGGCGAAGGCGGCCCCUGGACGAAGACUGACGCUCAGGUGCGAAAGCGUGGGGAGCAAACAGGAUUAGAUACCCUGGUAGUCCACGCCGUAAACGAUGUCGACUUGGAGGUUGUGCCCUUGAGGCGUGGCUUCCGGAGCUAACGCGUUAAGUCGACCGCCUGGGGAGUACGGCCGCAAGGUUAAAACUCAAAUGAAUUGACGGGGCCCGCACAAGCGGUGGAGCAUGUGGUUUAAUUCGAUGCAACGCGAAGAACCUUACCUGGUCUUGACAUCCACGGAAGUUUUCAGAGAUGAGAAUGUGCCUUCGGGAACCGUGAGACAGGUGCUGCAUGGCUGUCGUCAGCUCGUGUUGUGAAAUGUUGGGUUAAGUCCCGCAACGAGCGCAACCCUUAUCCUUUGUUGCCAGCGGUCCGGCCGGGAACUCAAAGGAGACUGCCAGUGAUAAACUGGAGGAAGGUGGGGAUGACGUCAAGUCAUCAUGGCCCUUACGACCAGGGCUACACACGUGCUACAAUGGCGCAUACAAAGAGAAGCGACCUCGCGAGAGCAAGCGGACCUCAUAAAGUGCGUCGUAGUCCGGAUUGGAGUCUGCAACUCGACUCCAUGAAGUCGGAAUCGCUAGUAAUCGUGGAUCAGAAUGCCACGGUGAAUACGUUCCCGGGCCUUGUACACACCGCCCGUCACACCAUGGGAGUGGGUUGCAAAAGAAGUAGGUAGCUUAACCUUCGGGAGGGCGCUUACCACUUUGUGAUUCAUGACUGGGGUGAAGUCGUAACAAGGUAACCGUAGGGGAACCUGCGGUUGGAUCACCUCCUU